This 345-nucleotide unclassified non-coding RNA is filed under the name soil metagenome. Its description in RNAcentral is "partial contains 5.8S ribosomal RNA, internal transcribed spacer 2, and large subunit ribosomal RNA". The stretch from base 1 to 120 matches the Rfam family "5.8S ribosomal RNA", at positions 35 to 154 of the family's 154-position model. The record is from RNAcentral.
GAUGAAGAACGUAGCGAAAUGCGAUACGUAAUGUGAAUUGCAGAAUUCAGUGAAUCAUCGAGUCGUUGAACGCACAUUGCGCCCCCUGGUAUUCCGGGGGGCAUGCCUGUCCGAGCGUCAUUGCUGCCCUCAAGCACGGCUUGUGUGUUGGGCCUCCGUCCUCCUCCCGGGGGACGGGCCCGAAAGGCAGCGGCGGCACCGCGUCCGGUCCUCGAGCGUAUGGGGCUUCGUCACCCGCUCUUGUAGGCCCGGCCGGCGCUUGCCGACACAUCAAUCUUUUUUCCAGGUUGACCUCGGAUCAGGUAGGGAUACCCGCUGAACUUAAGCAUAUCAAUAAGCGGAGGA